GGGUCAUCCUAUCAUUUGAUCCCAGAGUUCCGUGGGGCUCGUGCACAGUGGAAUUUCACUGACCAUUUGGUCAAACCCAACGGUUUCAAGGCUCCCCCUCAGCUCCCCUAUAUAAGCCUGACCCACCGCUGGCCAGUGUGUGGGUCAAUAGAAGCUGGAGAGGAGCACUAUCUUCAAGGAUUUAACGGACAAUCCAUUAUCAAGGACAUUCACAUUCGUCUUGCCGUGCGUCUUUGUGAAUAAACCACGGUUCAAACACGGAUUAUAUCAGUCAGUUCACGGUCAUUUACGGAUAAUUCAAUCACAGUUCAUCGUCAUUCAUGUCCAUCCUGCCAUUCAAGGCUUGAGUGUGUGCAAUAAAUACUUCAUUACAUCUGUCAUCAUUGGGACAUUGACAUCAUUCUAGUUCUAACCGGACAGACCUGUGGCGAUUGUCACCUUUUUCACAACUAGCAAUACAGUCCUUUUUGGGGUUUAUUCAACUCAACAUCCCCCUAUUUUAUAAUGGUCCUGGUUCACGGAGGAUGCCAUCUCCACGGCACUACACUACACUACACUUUUCACCUGGACAAUAACAACACCUAUGUGAGAAUGCUGUUCAUAGACUUCAGUUCAGCUUUCAACACCAUCAUCGGAGUGGUGCGCCGACAAUAACCUGGCUCUCAACACCAAGAAGACCAAAGAGCUCAUCGUGGACUUCAGGAAGAAAGGUGGCACACACACUCCCAUCCAUAUCAACGGGACAGAGGUUGAGCUGGUCGCCAGCUUCAAGUCCCAGGGUGUCCACAUCUCUGAGGACCUCUCUUGGACCCUCAACACCUCAACCCUGGUCAAGAAGGCACACCAGCGUCUCUUCUUCCUAAAGGAGACUGAAGAAGGCCCAUCUGUCUCCUCAGAUUCUGGUGAAUUUCUACCGCUGUCCCAUCGAGAGCAUCCUUACCAACUGCAUCUCAGUAUGGUAUGGCAGCUGCUCUGUUGCGGACCGGAAAACACUACAGAGGGUGGUGAAAACGUCCGUUCCCGGACCAGCAGGUUCAGGAACAGCUUCUUCCCUGCACCACGGUGAUAGCCCCCCCCCCCCCACACACACACACCCCCUCCAGUGACUAUACUUCUCCCCUCCACCCUGGCUUGGACUGCCACACACCCUCCUUCAGCCACUGAACAUUUGCACUAGACUGUUGUUUUUUACUACUGUAUUAUCCCACGUAUAGUGUAUUCAUAUUUAUAUCUAUUUAUAUACUUAUCUUGCC
Long non-coding RNA from Clupea harengus (Atlantic herring), 1253 nucleotides. Lineage: Eukaryota; Metazoa; Chordata; Actinopteri; Clupeiformes; Clupeidae. The record is from Ensembl.